Molecule: ribosomal RNA, 460 nt
Filed under: uncultured bacterium
Lineage: Bacteria
Description: partial 16S ribosomal RNA
Rfam family: Bacterial small subunit ribosomal RNA
Source: RNAcentral
CCUACGGGAGGCAGCAGUGAGGAAUAUUGGUCAAUGGGCGCGAGCCUGAACCAGCCAAGUAGCGUGAAGGAUGACUGCCCUACGGGUUGUAAACUUCUUUUAUAAAGGAAUAAAGUGAGGCACGUGUGCCUUUAUGUAUGUACUUUAUGAAUAAGGAUCGGCUAACUCCGUGCCAGCAGCCGCGGUAAUACGGAGGAUCCGAGCGUUAUCCGGAAUUAUUGGGUGUAAUGGGAGCGUAGAUGGGUUGUUAAGUCAGUUGUGAAAGUUUGCGGCUCAACCGUAAAAUUGCAAUUGAUACUGGCAGCCUUGAGUACAGUUGAGGUAGGCGGAAUUCGUGGUGUAGCGGUGAAAUGCUUAGAUAUCACGAAGAACCCCGAUUGCGAAGGCAGCUUACUAAACUGUGACUGACAUUGAUGCUCGAAAGUGUGGGUAGCAAACAGGAUUAGAUACCCUAGUAGUC